RNAcentral lists this ribosomal RNA (2903 nucleotides) under Klebsiella pasteurii. RNAcentral's name for it is "23S ribosomal RNA". It matches the Rfam family "Bacterial large subunit ribosomal RNA". Lineage: Bacteria; Pseudomonadati; Pseudomonadota; Gammaproteobacteria; Enterobacterales; Enterobacteriaceae. The record is from RNAcentral.
UUAAGCGACUAAGCGUACACGGUGGAUGCCCUGGCAGUCAGAGGCGAUGAAGGACGUGCUAAUCUGCGAAAAGCGUCGGUAAGGUGAUAUGAACCGUUACAGCCGGCGAUGUCCGAAUGGGGAAACCCAGUGCAAUUCGUUGCACUAUCGUUUGAUGAAUACAUAGUCAAACGAGGCGAACCGGGGGAACUGAAACAUCUAAGUACCCCGAGGAAAAGAAAUCAACCGAGAUUCCCCCAGUAGCGGCGAGCGAACGGGGAGCAGCCCGGAGUCUGAAUCAGCUUGUGUGUUAGUGGAAGCGUCUGGAAAGUCGCAGGGUACAGGGUGAUACUCCCGUACACUAAAACACACAGGUUGUGAACUCGAAGAGUAGGGCGGGACACGUGGUAUCCUGUCUGAAUAUGGGGGGACCAUCCUCCAAGGCUAAAUACUCCUGACUGACCGAUAGUGAACCAGUACCGUGAGGGAAAGGCGAAAAGAACCCCGGCGAGGGGAGUGAAAAAGAACCUGAAACCGUGUACGUACAAGCAGUAGGAGCCCACUUGUUGGGUGACUGCGUACCUUUUGUAUAAUGGGUCAGCGACUUAUAUUCUGUAGCAAGGUUAACCGUAUAGGGGAGCCGCAGGGAAACCGAGUCUUAACUGGGCGUUAAGUUGCAGGGUAUAGACCCGAAACCCGGUGAUCUAGCCAUGGGCAGGUUGAAGGUUGGGUAACACUAACUGGAGGACCGAACCGACUAAUGUUGAAAAAUUAGCGGAUGACUUGUGGCUGGGGGUGAAAGGCCAAUCAAACCGGGAGAUAGCUGGUUCUCCCCGAAAGCUAUUUAGGUAGCGCCUCGUGAACUCAUCUUCGGGGGUAGAGCACUGUUUCGGCUAGGGGGUCAUCCCGACUUACCAACCCGAUGCAAACUACGAAUACCGAAGAAUGUUAUCACGGGAGACACACGGCGGGUGCUAACGUCCGUCGUGAAGAGGGAAACAACCCAGACCGCCAGCUAAGGUCCCAAAGUCAUGGUUAAGUGGGAAACGAUGUGGGAAGGCCCAGACAGCCAGGAUGUUGGCUUAGAAGCAGCCAUCAUUUAAAGAAAGCGUAAUAGCUCACUGGUCGAGUCGGCCUGCGCGGAAGAUGUAACGGGGCUAAACCAUGCACCGAAGCUGCGGCAGCGACACUAUGUGUUGUUGGGUAGGGGAGCGUUCUGUAAGCCGUUGAAGGUGGCCUGUGAGGGUUGCUGGAGGUAUCAGAAGUGCGAAUGCUGACAUAAGUAACGAUAAUGCGGGUGAAAAACCCGCACGCCGGAAGACCAAGGGUUCCUGUCCAACGUUAAUCGGGGCAGGGUGAGUCGACCCCUAAGGCGAGGCCGAAAGGCGUAGUCGAUGGGAAACAGGUUAAUAUUCCUGUACUUGGUGUUACUGCGAAGGGGGGACGGAGAAGGCUAUGUUGGCCGGGCGACGGUUGUCCCGGUUUAAGCGUGUAGGUGUGUGUUCCAGGUAAAUCCGGUUCACUUUAACACUGAGGCGUGAUGACGAGGCACUACGGUGCUGAAGUGACAAAUGCCCUGCUUCCAGGAAAAGCCUCUAAGCAUCAGGUAACAUCAAAUCGUACCCCAAACCGACACAGGUGGUCAGGUAGAGAAUACCAAGGCGCUUGAGAGAACUCGGGUGAAGGAACUAGGCAAAAUGGUGCCGUAACUUCGGGAGAAGGCACGCUGAUAUGUAGGUGAAGUGGUUUACCCAUGGAGCUGAAAUCAGUCGAAGAUACCAGCUGGCUGCAACUGUUUAUUAAAAACACAGCACUGUGCAAACACGAAAGUGGACGUAUACGGUGUGACGCCUGCCCGGUGCCGGAAGGUUAAUUGAUGGGGUUAUCCGUAAGGAGAAGCUCUUGAUCGAAGCCCCGGUAAACGGCGGCCGUAACUAUAACGGUCCUAAGGUAGCGAAAUUCCUUGUCGGGUAAGUUCCGACCUGCACGAAUGGCGUAAUGAUGGCCAGGCUGUCUCCACCCGAGACUCAGUGAAAUUGAACUCGCUGUGAAGAUGCAGUGUACCCGCGGCAAGACGGAAAGACCCCGUGAACCUUUACUAUAGCUUGACACUGAACACUGGUCCUUGAUGUGUAGGAUAGGUGGGAGGCUUUGAAGUGUGGACGCCAGUCUGCAUGGAGCCAUCCUUGAAAUACCACCCUUUAAUGGCUGGUGUUCUAACGUGGGCCCGUAAUCCGGGUUGCGGACAGUGUCUGGUGGGUAGUUUGACUGGGGCGGUCUCCUCCUAAAGAGUAACGGAGGAGCACGAAGGUCAGCUAAUCCUGGUCGGACAUCAGGAGGUUAGUGCAAUGGCAUAAGCUGGCUUGACUGCGAGCGUGACGGCGCGAGCAGGUGCGAAAGCAGGUCAUAGUGAUCCGGUGGUUCUGAAUGGAAGGGCCAUCGCUCAACGGAUAAAAGGUACUCCGGGGAUAACAGGCUGAUACCGCCCAAGAGUUCAUAUCGACGGCGGUGUUUGGCACCUCGAUGUCGGCUCAUCACAUCCUGGGGCUGAAGUAGGUCCCAAGGGUAUGGCUGUUCGCCAUUUAAAGUGGUACGCGAGCUGGGUUUAGAACGUCGUGAGACAGUUCGGUCCCUAUCUGCCGUGGGCGCUGGAGAAUUGAGGGGGGCUGCUCCUAGUACGAGAGGACCGGAGUGGACGCAUCACUGGUGUUCGGGUUGUCAUGCCAAUGGCAUUGCCCGGUAGCUAAAUGCGGAAGAGAUAAGUGCUGAAAGCAUCUAAGUACGAAACUUGCCCCGAGAUGAGUUCUCCCUGACUCCUUGAGAGUCCUGAAGGAACGUUGAAGACGACGACGUUGAUAGGCCGGGUGUGUAAGCGCAGCGAUGCGUUGAGCUAACCGGUACUAAUGAACCGUGAGGCUUAACCU